This 840-nucleotide ribosomal RNA is filed under the name Pezicula carpinea. Its description in RNAcentral is "eukaryotic LSU rRNA". It matches the Rfam family "Eukaryotic large subunit ribosomal RNA", at positions 76 to 933 of the family's 3401-position model. Lineage: Eukaryota; Fungi; Ascomycota; Leotiomycetes; Helotiales; Dermateaceae. The record is from RNAcentral.
UACCUCAGUAACGGCGAGUGAAGCGGUAACAGCUCAAAUUUGAAAUCUGGGUCUUUUAGGCUCCGAGUUGUAAUUUGUAGAAGAUGCUUCGGGUGCGGCGCCGGUCUAAGUCCCUUGGAACAGGGCGUCAUAGAGGGUGAGAAUCCCGUAUGUGAUCGGUUGCCUGUGCCCGUGUGAAGCUCUUUCGACGAGUCGAGUUGUUUGGGAAUGCAGCUCUAAAUGGGUGGUAAAUUUCAUCUAAAGCUAAAUAUUGGCCAGAGACCGAUAGCGCACAAGUAGAGUGAUCGAAAGAUGAAAAGCACUUUGGAAAGAGAGUUAAACAGUACGUGAAAUUGUUGAAAGGGAAGCGCUUGCAACCAGACUUGCGCGUUGUCGAUCAUCCGAGGUUCUCCCCGGUGCACUCGACCUCGCUCAGGCCAGCAUCGGUUUCGGUGGUUGGAUAAAGGCCUUGGGAAUGUAGCUUCUUUCGGGGAGUGUUAUAGCCCUCGGUGCAAUGCAGCCUACCGGGACCGAGGACCGCGCUUCGGCUAGGAUGCUGGCGUAAUGGUUGUAAGCGACCCGUCUUGAAACACGGACCAAGGAGUCUAACAUCUAUGCGAGUGUUUGGGUGUCAAACCCAUACGCGUAAUGAAAGUGAACGGAGGUGAGAACCCUUAAGGGUGCAUCAUCGACCGAUCCUGAUGUCUUCGGAUGGAUUUGAGUAAGAGCAUAGCUGUUGGGACCCGAAAGAUGGUGAACUAUGCCUGAAUAGGGUGAAGCCAGAGGAAACUCUGGUGGAGGCUCGCAGCGGUUCUGACGUGCAAAUCGAUCGUCAAAUUUGGGUAUAGGGGCGAAAGACUA